CAGCCGCCGCGGUAAUACGAAGGGGGCUAGCGUUGUUCGGAUUUACUGGGCGUAAAGGGCGCGUAGGCGGAUAUUUAAGUCAGGGGUGAAAUCCCAGAGCUCGACUCUGGAACUGCCUUUGAUACUGGGUAUCUUGAGUAUGGAAGAGGUGAGUGGAAUUCCGAGUGUAGAGGUGAAAUUCGUAGAUAUUCGGAGGAACACCAGUGGCGAAGGCGGCUCACUGGUCCAUUACUGACGCUGAGGUGCGAAAGCGUGGGGAGCAAACAGGAUUAGAUACCCCGGUAGUCCCUGUCUCUUAUAC
RNAcentral lists this ribosomal RNA (301 nucleotides) under uncultured bacterium. RNAcentral's name for it is "partial 16S ribosomal RNA". It matches the Rfam family "Bacterial small subunit ribosomal RNA", at positions 509 to 807 of the family's 1533-position model. The record is from RNAcentral.